This 1387-nucleotide ribosomal RNA is filed under the name uncultured bacterium. RNAcentral's name for it is "bacterial SSU rRNA". It matches the Rfam family "Bacterial small subunit ribosomal RNA". The record is from RNAcentral.
GAGUUUGAUCCUGGCUCAGGAUGAACGCUAGCGGCAGGCCUAAUACAUGCAAGCCGAACGGUAAGUUUGAUAGCAAUAUUGAACCUAGAGUGGCGUAAGGGUGCGUAACACGUAUGCAAUCUACCCGCAACAGGAGGAUAGCUCCCCGAAAGGGGAAUUAACCCUCCAUGAGAUCACACGAGGGCAUCUGAGAGUGAUUAAAUCUGAGGAGGUUGUGGAUGAGCAUGCGACUGAUUAGCUAGUUGGCAGUGUAACGGACUACCAAGGCGAUGAUCAGUAGGGGAACUGAGAGGUUGAUCCCCCACACUGGCACUGAGAUACGGGCCAGACUCCUACGGGAGGCAGCAGUAGGGAAUAUUGGUCAAUGGGUGAGAGCCUGAACCAGCCAUGCCGCGUGCAGGAAGAAGGCCUUCUGGGUUGUAAACUGCUUUUGCCGGGGGAUAAAAGACCCUUGCGAGGGAAAUUGAAGGUACCUGGUGAAUAAGCCACGGCUAACUACGUGCCAGCAGCCGCGGUAAUACGUAGGUGGCAAGCGUUGUCCGGAUUUACUGGGCGUAAAGAGCGCGCAGGCGGUCGUUUAAGUCGAAUGUGAAAGCCCCCGGCUCAACUGGGGAGGGUCAUUCGAUACUGAUCGACUUGAAGGCAGGAGAGAGAAGUGGAAUUCCCGGUGUAGUGGUGAAAUGCGUAGAUAUCGGGAGGAACACCAGUGGCGAAGGCGGCUACCUGGCACAUAACUGACGCUGAGACGCGAAAGCGUGGGGAGCGAACCGGAUUAGAUACCCGGGUAGUCCACGCCCUAAACGUUGCGAACUAGGUGUUGGUCGGAUUGACCCGAUCAGUGCCGCAGCUAACGCAUUAAGUUCGCCGCCUGGGGAGUACGGUCGCAAGAUUAAAACUCAAAGGAAUAGGCGGGGGCCCGCACAAGCAGCGGAGCGUGUGGUUUAAUUCGAUGCGACGCGAAGAACCUUACCUGGACUUGACAUGCUUGGGAAACUCCGGUGAAAGCCGGGGCCUCUCGCAAGAGACUCUUGCACAGGUGGUGCAUGGCUGUCGUCAGCUCGUGCCGUGAGGUGUUGGGUUAAGUCCCGCAACGAGCGCAACCCUUAUCUUAUGUUGCCAGCGCGUAAUGGCGGGGACUCGUGAGAGACUGCCGGGGUCAACUCGGAGGAAGGUGGGGAUGACGUCGAGUCCUCAUGGCCCUUACGGGCUGGGCUACACACGUGCUACAAUGGCGGUGACAGUGGGACGCAAUGGAGCAAUCCUGCGCAAAUCUCAAAAAGCCGUCUCAGUUCGGAUUGGGGGCUGCAACUCGCCCCCAUGAAGUUGGAAUCGCUAGUAAUCGUGGAUCAGAACGCCACGGUGAUACGUUCCCGGGCCUUGCACACAC